RNAcentral lists this ribosomal RNA (499 nucleotides) under uncultured Glomus. RNAcentral describes it as "SSU rRNA". It matches the Rfam family "Eukaryotic small subunit ribosomal RNA", at positions 569 to 1072 of the family's 1831-position model. Lineage: Eukaryota; Fungi; Glomeromycota; Glomeromycetes; Glomerales; Glomeraceae. The record is from RNAcentral.
AGCAGCCGCGGUAAUUCCAGCUCCAAUAGCGUAUAUUAAAGUUGUUGCAGUUAAAAAGCUCGUAGUUGAAUUUCGGGAUCAGUGGGUCGGUCGUGCCACUGGUAUGCACUGGCCCUACUGGUUCCUCCUUCUUGAAGAACUGUAAUGCCAUUAAUUUGGUGUUGCAGGGAAACAGGACUGUUACUUUGAAAAAAUUAGAGUGUUUAAAGCAGGCAAUCGCUUGAAUACAUUAGCAUGGAAUAAUGAAAUAGGACGAUCGAUCCUAUUUUGUUGGUUUCUAGGAUUGACGUAAUGAUUAAUAGGGAUAGUUGGGGGCAUUAGUAUUCAAUUGUCAGAGGUGAAAUUCUUGGAUUUAUUGAAGACUAACUACUGCGAAAGCAUUUGCCAAGGAUGUUUUCAUUAAUCAAGAACGAAAGUUAGGGGAUCGAAGACGAUCAGAUACCGUCGUAGUCUUAACCAUAAACUAUGCCGACUAGGGAUCGGAUGAUGUUAAUUUUUA